Molecule: ribosomal RNA, 496 nt
Filed under: uncultured bacterium
Lineage: Bacteria
Description: partial 16S ribosomal RNA
Rfam family: Bacterial small subunit ribosomal RNA
Source: RNAcentral
GAUGAACGCUGGCGGCGUGCCUAAUACAUGCAAGUCGAGCGAACAGACGAGGAGCUUGCUCCUCUGACGUUAGCGGCGGACGGGUGAGUAACACGUGGAUAACCUACCUAUAAGACUGGGAUAACUUCGGGAAACCGGAGCUAAUACCGGAUAAUAUAUUGAACCGCAUGGUUCAAUAGUGAAAGACGGUUUUGCUGUCACUUAUAGAUGGAACCGCGCCGCAUUAGCUAGUUGGUAAGGUAACGGCUUACCAAGGCAACGAUGCGUAGCCGACCUGAGAGGGGGAUCGGCCACACUGGAACUGAGACACGGUCCAGACUCCUACGGGAGGCAGCAGUAGGGAAUCUUCCGCAAUGGGCGAAAGCCUGACGGAGCAACGCCGCGUGAGUGAUGAAGGUCUUCGGAUCGUAAAACUCUGUUAUUAGGGAAGAACAAAUGUGUAAGUAACUAUGCACGUCUUGACGGUACCUAAUCAGAAAGCCACGGCUAACUACGU